RNAcentral lists this ribosomal RNA (433 nucleotides) under uncultured bacterium. Its description in RNAcentral is "partial 16S ribosomal RNA". It matches the Rfam family "Bacterial small subunit ribosomal RNA", at positions 29 to 507 of the family's 1533-position model. The record is from RNAcentral.
AACGAACGCUGGCGGCAGGCCUAACACAUGCAAGUCGAGCGCGCCCUUCGGGGUGAGCGGCGGACGGGUGAGUAACGCGUGGGAACGUGCCCUUUUCUACGGAAUAGCCUCGGGAAACUGAGAGUAAUACCGUAUACGCCCUUUGGGGGAGAGAUUUAUCGGAAAAGGAUCGGCCCGCGUUGGAUUAGGUAGUUGGUGGGGUAAUGGCCUACCAAGCCGACGAUCCAUAGCUGGUUUGAGAGGAUGAUCAGCCACACUGGGACUGAGACACGGCCCAGACUCCUACGGGAGGCAGCAGUGGGGAAUCUUAGACAAUGGGGGCAACCCUGAUCUAGCCAUGCCGCGUGAGUGAUGAAGGCCUUAGGGUUGUAAAGCUCUUUCAGCUGGGAAGAUAAUGACGGUACCAGCAGAAGAAGCCCCGGCUAACUCCGUG